RNAcentral lists this long non-coding RNA (5607 nucleotides) under Fukomys damarensis (Damara mole-rat). RNAcentral describes it as "lncRNA (ENSFDAG00000028269.1)". Lineage: Eukaryota; Metazoa; Chordata; Mammalia; Rodentia; Bathyergidae. The record is from RNAcentral.
GAAAUGGGAUAUGUGAUUUCUAAAAUGUCACCUUAGGAUUUCACUUAUGUAUGCCAAUAUACUAGGCAGUCAUAAGUAGGUGAAGAAGCAAACAUGACAUUUACAGGUAAUGGGUUAGGAUCCCUGUUUUAUAAUUCAAUUUCCUUGCUGAAUCUUGAACAAGCUGUCUACCCUCUCUGAUACUUUCUAAUCUGAAGAACAGAGACAUUAUUUCUAUUGAAUAUAUUUACUUACUUUUAAAAAUUGACGAUUAUGUAUAUUUAUGGGAGAUAAGUGCUAUUUUGGUGGGUUUUUUUGGGUACCGGAGAUCAAACUCAGGACUUUGUGCUUGUGAAGCAGGCGGCAGCACCACUGAGCUAAAUUCCUGGCCCUGUAAGUGCUAUUUUGAUUUAUAUAAGUCCUCCAGUCUAAUAAAACUUUUUAUCCUGUGAUCAAUAUCUCUCUCCCCCCACCUUCCAUGACUUUGGUAACUACUUUUUCCUAUUUCUAUGAAAUACUUUUUUUUUAGAUUCCACAUAGAAGUGAGAUAUUCAUUUUGAAUUUAAUUCUUUUGACAUAGGGUCUCCAGGCUCAGCUGGUCCUCUUGGCCUCCUGGGUGGCUGGGACUACUGAUGCUUGCCAUUGUACCUGCCUUAAUUUGUUUUUAAUGUGCUUCAUUCAGAAGAUUUGAAGCUGUGACAAAAGUGUGACUAAAAUAAGAAGAUGAGAAAACCAAUGUGGUUGGAAGAUAAGGAUAAGCCAACAAAAAAGUGGAGUAACUUCAGAGCACCAGUAAGUCAUGUUUGAGAGAAUACAGCCCCAGGAAUCACGUAUGAAGAAUCCUGACGUGAAACACUGUGCUACAGUGAUAAUGAGCAACAGAACCUUUCUCAGGAUCUUCUGGGUCUUCCCUGAAACUCCAUUUUCGAGUGCGGCACUCACCUUGUCCACUGAUGGGUACAGGGCAAAGAGCUCAGCCUGCCGAUUGGUCCUCCGGGCUUCUUCAUUCUGCUUCUCAAAGUCCUCGGAGCUCACGCUUUGCAGCAGGUUUUCGAGCCGUUGGUCGGGCGGCAGGCUGCGGAGGUUGAAUUCAAAAGCAGUGAAGGGGCCUUUCCCAGACACGUCGCACAGCACGUUUAAGCGGCAGGGGCCUGUCUGUGAGAGAAGGCAGUGGGCCUUUGUGAGAGAGAGCACACACGGAUGAGAAUUAAAGACUGUGGCGUUUCAAGACGUCUACUCCAACUUGGAUCCAGAGGGGCUCAGGCCUCAAGAAGUUUUCUGUGUAAACAGGGGCUUUGCUAAUCAUGGUGGCAGGUAGUCACUCAUCAGAUGCGGACAAACCAGUCCUGAGAAAGGGUUUGAGCACUGUGCUUCUAUUAGUUGGUGGCUUGUUCUUUCCUGCAGAGUGGGAGCUCAGUCUCUCAGGAACACACUUACAUUUCAUGCUCAAACCUGAGGUGGGAUAAAGGGUAAUAAAAAGAAAAUGGACAGGGGGGCCGGGGAUUUAGCCCAGUGGUUCCAGCGCCUGCCUUGCAAGGUAAGGUCCUGAGUUCCUCACCGGUACCAAAAAAAAAAAAAAAAAAAAAAAAAAAAAAAAGGAAAAAAAAAAGAAAAUGGACUGGGAAACAGCCUGUGUCCCAGUCUCGAGGACUCCAGAAUCUGGUUUUUGAAAUGGUAACAUAAGAUGAUCUCUGAGGAGCCUUUCAGAUUAAACUACCUAAAGCUGAAUGUCAUGUUUCCAGAGACAAAGAAUUUGCAGGAUCUACUUGUAGCUUCAGGGAGCGUGAAAGAAAGAGUCUUAAACCAGUCACAAAGUGGACAUGUCUUGGUAAUUGGGAACCACAUGGCUAACAAAAGGUUGGUAAAGAACAGAUUCAGUGUAGCUGGGACAUGGGGCAUGCUUAGAGCCCUGCUACUUGCAGAUCUGGGGAAGGAAGAUGGUUUGAGACCAGGCUGGGCAACACAGUUAGACCUUGUCUCAAACAAACAAAAAAAAAAGAUCGGUAAUCAAUAGAAUGUCACAAAACUAUACAGUUUGAUAAUGAGGAAUAUCUACACAAUUUAUAGUGAAUAUUAUUCUCAAAAUUCUAGAAAAUGGAUGCACUACUCUAUAAUUUCUCUACAUCAAACAUUUUUGGUGAUAACCAUCUACCUCAUAAAAGUGCUACUUUAGAAAAUAUUAAAUUUUGUCUACUCUGUAUGCGCCAGCAACAGUCAAUAUUAACAUUUAAAUUAUUAUUGCUUUUAUUUGUCUUGGGAUUAAUAAAGUUUGGGAAAAUGAGUUUAAUUUCCUAAGUUUCUUUAUAAGAAUGUCCAGCUAUGUAUCUGGCAACAGUCUUAAAGAUGUUUAAAUCAUUUAAUUUAGAAAUUUCAUUUCCAAGCAUUUAUUUUGAGGGUCAACUUACACAAAUGUGCAGCGAUGUGAAGAUGGCAGCAUCUCUGAAAGAGUGUUUAUAAGAAUAUUAUGCAGGCAUGAAAAAGGACACGUGUGCAUUUGCUAGACAUUAAAGAUAAUCAUAGUAGAGUCAUGUCCAUAUAAUAAUAUUUUGGUAAACAAAGGACCACAAAUACAAUAGUCGUCCCAUAAAAUUAUAAAAUUAUAUCACCUGGUGAUGCUGCAGCCACCUUAGGUUGUUGGAGGUACACUAUUUGAUGUCUGCACAAUGGUGCAUCUCUCAGAAUGUAUCUCUGUUGUGAAGUGAUGCAUAUCUUUAUAUUAAUAUGAAAAAGGAAGUUGCAUAGCAUAAUGUAUAAAAUCUAAUUUUGCUGAACUAAAUGUGUAUCGCAGAAUCAUGUAUUUAACAUAAUUAAAUUCAGGUGUUUGGCUUUAUUGUUCUACUCAAUAAGAUGGGGAAGCAGAAUGAAAGUGAAAUGGAAAAUAUACCUAGUUGCCCUGUUGUCUGAGCAUCUCUGCAUAAUGAAUAUUGUCCUAAUUCUCUACUGAAAACCACAUCUUUUGUAUUGCCUGGCUUUUAACCAUGCAAGUGACCAACUUUAGUGCUCUGUUUAUAAGCUGACCUCACCUCACCCACUGUCUCUCAGCUGCAAACUCACUCUUUUGUGCUCUCCUCUGUGACACUGGGUCUGGGACUCAGAAAAUCCCUUUUCUGCUUUGCUUGCUGCUCCUUUUAGGUUCUGCCAACCACAUUAGAUGGCUGGAGGAGGGACAAGGACCUGGCUCUUUCCCUUGUUUGCAGUUUCUCUCACCUUGAUAGUGACAGUUGGUUCUAGGCGUCAGCUUCUUUUGGUGCUUCCAGAACCAGCUCACCUUUUCCAAGGUCCCAGCACUGGCAAGAUACCCCCACCUUGCAAGAGUUCUGCAUCCAGACUCCAUGAGGUCUUUUCCGCUGAGAUUCGGAGACAACGCUACCAGUUGGGCAGUGCCCCCAUAUCAGACAUGUAAAUCUUUGCUCCAAGCCCAUCUUCUGAGCUUUUAGGAUCUGUUAACUCCAAGCUCCUCCCUAGAUCCUUAGACUAGUUGUGGACUAAGCAUCAGCAUCACUUGGGAAAUUCAAAUCCUCAGAAUCUACUUCAGAACUCCUGACUCCCUGGCAGGCAGAGCUUAACACCUUGUGCUUGAGCGACUCCCCAGGGCAUUUUGAUGAAACUCCAGUUUGAGCCACAGCCCUAGGCCCCAGCUCCAGGGAAUGGUGUGCUAAUCCCUGAAGUUAUCAUUCCUGUGGAACCUCUAUUUCCCCCUUCUGACUCUCUCUGUCCUUCAGACCCAUUUAAUCACUAAAUACUUAGUGCAUCUUCUAUCUGACUAAUGCAAGGAACAAUUUAGUUCUUCAUAACAUAGGGUAAAAACUGAAUUUAGUCAAAAUUACCAGUGAAAAAUCCCUAACUUUCCCAGGAGCACAGCAUAGAGGUCUUCCAUGCCUCAGCAAGUCUCCAUAUUCAGCACCAAAAUUGACAGGUGCUGCCUCUUUGGAGAUCAUAUUAAGUAGCUGGCUUGGCUUUAGGGACUAUAUUAUUUGAAAACUAGGUAUUAUUUUUAAGCUUCUAAUAAUAUUCAACACAGUAUGAUGCUUGUGCUAUGAAGACACAUGAAAGCUGAGAACUUUACUGGAUUAGAAGAAGACCUGUAUAAAUCUGGACAAAUUUUCUCUCUGUCAUUUAUUUUUCUUACCAAUCAAAUAAGCAGACUGGACUAGAGCACUGACUUUUAAGAAUUUAAUUGUGGUAAAAUAUUUGUAGCAUAAAACAAAUCAUCUCAACCAUUUGUCACAGGGGUUAAGUACAUUCAUCACCCGUCUCCAUGAACUUUUCAUUUUGCAAACUGCAACUUUGUGCCCAUUGAAGAAUAACUCUAUUGUUCCUUUUACCCCUGGCAACUGCAGUUUGUUCAUGCCUUCAUCCAACGUGGAUGCUCAAGACACUUCCAUCUUUUGGCUACUGUGAGUAGUGCUGUUGCGGACAGGGUGCACACAGCACCGAUUUUGAAACUGUAAUCACUUUAUAAUAAUGUAAGAAUGACAACAGUAACAGUAUCCAGCCUCUAUUGGGCACCAGGUGUCAUUGGCAUUGUUCUAAAUCUUUACAUAUAAUAACUGAGUUCAUACUCCAGUAGCCUCAAGAGUUAGUUUUCUAGGGGAGAAAACUGAAGCCCAGAUAGUUUAAUUAUCCUGCUCGAGGUUAUGCAGUUCUUGUAUGGUAGAACUGGUAAGAGAAUCCCAGCAGUCUGGCUUUAGAGUGAAGUUCUUAACCACACCAUGGUCUGCCUUUGGGGACCACCAAGCCUCUGCAGGAACUGUUUUAGGGAUGGCCCCAAGGCGUCCCUCUACCUCUAUGGGAGCCAUCCUAUGUGUACCUAUUUUAAACACUGAGCUUUGCAGUUUUCUUUUACAUACUGAUUUCUGAAGCUACAAACACAUGAGAAAAAUAUAUAUCACUGACUCAGAUGGCAGAGCUCCUCCUAGUCAAAUAUUCUGUGAGUCUUAAUUUCAUUUUAGUUUUUAAAAAAAACCACAGCACACCCUGGGCAAAGCAGGCCCGUAACCUGGUAACCAUGUUUGUUGAGAGGAAAUACCUGAGCAGAGGGUUCAGCGCACUCCAACGAUUCUGACUCAAAGGUCUGUUUCUGAAGCGUCUUGUGAAAAUCUUUUCGAGAUCCAGUCUUUUUAAAGCCACAAAUCUCGGAACUUCCUUGGUUUCUUUCAUCAUUGAUAUUAUAUAAUUCAGAGAAUGAGCGGGAGGAAGAGAGAGGGAGGGAGAAGCAAAGUCAUUAGAUUAAAAAUAAAAGUAAUGGCCUCAGUGUAGACUUGGUGCUGAAAGAGCUUUCAAAGAGAGGACCAGUGGUAAUUCCUCACAUCUAAUUAAGCACCAGGCCUAACACAAGGCUCUGUUGUAAGGAGAUACAAGCCUGCCUCCUGGCUGGCUCAUUAUUAAAGGCAGGAAUGGCCUGGGAAAAUGCCACUGCAGAGGUGCGGUCAUUUCAGCUGCGGAUACUUGGGCCUAAGCUGAGGCUAAACUAUGACCUUAGUGUAAGAGGCUAGAAUAAAGCUAGCAAUGUGCAGAAGCAGCAAAAAAAGAUCAUUUGAAGAUAAAAAUAGAGAAAACUAUUUCAUCUCCACAUCAGUGUUUCCAAUAAUAAUGAAUUAAAAAAGGCAGGACAUGGUUGAGAAAAAG